UACGUAGGGGGCAAGCGUUGUCCGGAUUUAUUGGGCGUAAAGAGCUCGUAGGCGGUUCCGUAAGUCGUGAAGUCAAAUCUCUGGGCUCAACCCAGAAUCGCUUCCGAUACUGCGGUGACUGGAGUCCGGUAGGGGAGUGUGGAAUUCCUGGUGUAGCGGUGAAAUGCGCAGAUAUCAGGAGGAACACCAACAGCGAAGGCAGCACUCUGGGCCGGUACUGACGCUGAAGAGCGAAAGCAUGGGGAGCGAACAGG
This 254-nucleotide ribosomal RNA is filed under the name uncultured bacterium. RNAcentral's name for it is "partial 16S ribosomal RNA". It matches the Rfam family "Bacterial small subunit ribosomal RNA", at positions 524 to 776 of the family's 1533-position model. The record is from RNAcentral.